RNAcentral lists this ribosomal RNA (253 nucleotides) under uncultured bacterium. RNAcentral's name for it is "partial 16S ribosomal RNA". It matches the Rfam family "Bacterial small subunit ribosomal RNA", at positions 524 to 776 of the family's 1533-position model. The record is from RNAcentral.
UACGUAGGGUGCAAGCGUUGUUCGGAAUUACUGGGCGUAAAGGGCGCGUAGGCGGGCCCGUAUGUCGAUUGUGAAAUCCCCGGGCUUAACCUGGGAAUUGCAGUCGAAACUGCGGGUCUUGAGUGCUUAAGAGGAUGGCGGAAUUCCCGGUGUAGAAGUGAAAUUCGUAGAUAUCGGGAAGAACACCUGAGGCGAAGGCGGCUGUCUGGUGAUGCACUGACGCUGAGGCGCGAAAGCGUGGGGAGCAAACAGG